Molecule: ribosomal RNA, 496 nt
Filed under: uncultured bacterium
Lineage: Bacteria
Description: partial 16S ribosomal RNA
Rfam family: Bacterial small subunit ribosomal RNA
Source: RNAcentral
AUGAACGCUGGCGGCGUGCCUAAUACAUGCAAGUCGAGCGCACAGACGAGGAGCUUGCUCCUCUGACGUUAGCGGCGGACGGGUGAGUAACACGUGGAUAACCUACCUAUAAGACUGGGAUAACUUCGGGAAACCGGAGCUAAUACCGGAUAAUAUAUUGAACCGCAUGGUUCAAUAGUGAAAGACGGUUUUGCUGUCACUUAUAGAUGGAUCCGCGCCGCAUUAGCUAGUUGGUAAGGUAACGGCUUACCAAGGCAACGAUGCAUAGCCGACCUGAGAGGGUGAUCGGCCACACUGGAACUGAGACACGGUCCAGACUCCUACGGGGGGCAGCAGUAGGGAAUCUUCCGCAAUGGGCGAAAGCUUGACGGAGCAACGCCGCGUGAGUGAUGAAGGUCUUCGGAUCGUAAAACUCUGUUAUUAGGGAAGAACAAAUGUGUAAGUAACUAUGCACGUCUUGACGGUACCUAAUCAGAAAGCCACGGCUAACUACGUG